Molecule: non-coding RNA, 73 nt
Organism: Podarcis lilfordi (Lilford's wall lizard)
Lineage: Eukaryota; Metazoa; Chordata; Lepidosauria; Squamata; Lacertidae
Source: the annotation of a GenBank genome assembly
GCUGAGGUAGCUCAGUCGGUAGAGCAUGAGGAUCUUAAUCACAGGGUUGUGGGUUCGAGCCCCAAAUUGGGCA